CACGCCCUAAACGAUGCGCGUUAGGUGUAUCGGUGACCACGAGUCACCGAGGUGCCGAAGGGAAACCGUGAAACGUGCCGCCUGGGAAGUACGGUCGCAAGGCUGAAACUUAAAGGAAUUGGCGGGGGAGCACCACAACGGGUGGAGCUUGCGGUUUAAUUGGAUUCAACGCCGGAAAUCUUACCGGGACCGACAGCAACAUGAAGGCCAGGCUGAAGACUUUGCCGGAUUAGCUGAGAGGAGGUGCAUGGCGUAGUCGUGU
RNAcentral lists this ribosomal RNA (262 nucleotides) under uncultured archaeon. RNAcentral describes it as "partial 16S ribosomal RNA". It matches the Rfam family "Archaeal small subunit ribosomal RNA", at positions 747 to 1009 of the family's 1478-position model. The record is from RNAcentral.